This 711-nucleotide ribosomal RNA is filed under the name anaerobic methanogenic archaeon E30-1. RNAcentral describes it as "bacterial SSU rRNA". It matches the Rfam family "Archaeal small subunit ribosomal RNA", at positions 125 to 834 of the family's 1478-position model. The record is from RNAcentral.
GAUAACCCCGGGAUACUGGGGAUAAUUCCGGAUAACGCAUAUGUGCUGGAAUGCUUUAUGCGUAAAAUGGAUUCGUCCGCCCAAGGAUGGGUCUGCGGCCUAUCAGGUAGUAGUGGGUGUAAUGUACCUACUAGCCGACAACGGGUACGGGUUGUGAGAGCAAGAGCCCGGAGAUGGAUUCUGAGACAUGAAUCCAGGCCCUACGGGGCGCAGCAGGCGCGAAAACUUUACAAUGCGGGAAACCGUGAUAAGGGGACACCGAGUGUCAGCAUCAUAUGCUGGCUGUCCAGGUGUGUAAAAUACACCCGUUAGCAAGGGCCGGGCAAGACCGGUGCCAGCCGCCGCGGUAACACCGGCGGCCCGAGUGGUGAUCGUGAUUAUUGGGUCUAAAGGGUCCGUAGCCGGUUUGGUCAGUCCUCCGGGAAAUCUGAUAGCUCAACUAUUAGGCUAUCGGGGGAUACUACCAGACUUGGAACCGGGAGAGGUAAGAGGUACUACAGGGGUAGGAGUGAAAUCUUGUAAUCCCUGUGGGACCACCUGUGGCGAAGGCGUCUUACCAGAACGGGUUCGACGGUGAGGGACGAAAGCUGGGGGCACGAACCGGAUUAGAUACCCGGGUAGUCCCAGCCGUAAACGAUGCUCGCUAGGUGUCAGGCAUGGCGCGACCGUGUCUGGUGCCGCAGGGAAGCCGUGAAGCGAGCCACCUGGAAG